RNAcentral lists this ribosomal RNA (485 nucleotides) under uncultured bacterium. RNAcentral describes it as "partial 16S ribosomal RNA". It matches the Rfam family "Bacterial small subunit ribosomal RNA", at positions 28 to 523 of the family's 1533-position model. The record is from RNAcentral.
GACGAACGCUGGCGGCGUGCCUAACGCAUGCAAGUCGAGCGGAGACAGUGAGUAGCUUGCUACGAGCUGUUUUAGCGGCGGACGGGUGAGUAACGCGUGAGCAACCUUUCCCAGACGGGGGAAUAACACACCGAAAGGUGUACUAAUACCGCAUAAGACCACGGGAUCACAUGGUUCUGGGGUAAAAGAAUUAUCGGUUUGGGGUGGGCUCGCGUCCGAUUAGGUAGUUGGUGAGGUAACGGCCCACCAAGCCGACGACCGGUAGCCGACCUGAGAGGGUGAUCGGCCACAUUGGGACUGAGACACGGCCCAAACUCCUACGGGAGGCAGCAGUGGGGAAUAUUGGGCAAUGGAGGAAACUCUGACCCAGCAACGCCGCGUGGAGGAAGAAGGUUUUCGGAUCGUAAACUCCUUUUGACAGGGAAGAGAGAGGACGGUACCUGAGGAGGAAGCCACGGCUAACUACGUGCCAGCCGCCGCCGUAA